This is a long non-coding RNA of Acinonyx jubatus (cheetah), 22649 nucleotides long. RefSeq lists it as uncharacterized. Lineage: Eukaryota; Metazoa; Chordata; Mammalia; Carnivora; Felidae. The record is from RefSeq and is a predicted model, not a curated record. The transcript is spliced from 2 exons.
UUUCUUUUUUUUUUUUUUUGAGGUUAGUUCAUGCAGGCUUGGUUAAUAGAAUAUGAAGUGAGAUCUUACGGGGUGGCAGAGAAUGUUUGGUUUAGCCUGGGGGCAUAUGGAGAAUGGGCUAUUUCUUCACAAAGAAUUUUUAAGAAUCUUAGAAUGGUUUGCCACUGUAAUUAUGAACAACUGUAGCUUGCUUAAUUUUUAUUUUCUAUUUUAAAUGCUCAGAUGAUUUUACUUUCAUCUAUAAAAUGUUAAAAGUAUAGUCUAAUUAAAAUAGUAUGUGUCUAAGAAAUACUUUUGGUCCAUUUAGUUUCUUUUUCCUUUUCCUACCUAAUCAAAAGGUGUGUAAACCUAGAAAACAUGCAGAGAGCCCUGGACCUUCUCUUUUUGUCAUUUUUCACUAUUAUUUCAUAUUUUCCCUAGUAUUAUUGUCUUUUUUAAUGUUUAUUAAUUUUGAGAGAGAAAUUGAGAGAGACAGCAUGAGCAGGGGAGGGACAGAGAGAGAGAGACAGAAAGAGAGAGAGAGAGAGAGAGAGAGAGAGAGAGAGAGAGAGAAUUCCAGACAGGCUCCCUGCUGUCAGGGCAGAGCCUGACAUGGGGUUGGAUCCCACAAACCCUGAGGUUAUGACCUGAGCUGAAAUCAAGAGUCAGACGGUUAACUAACUGAGCCACCCAGGCACCCUUCCUCUGUAUCAUUGUUAAGAUGACUUUAUGAGACAACUGUCAAUAUUGUUUAAUGUUAGCUAUUCACCUAUAUGAGUAGGAAAAAAGUUUUUCCUUUAUGGGUGUGUGUGGAUAGACAAACCACUGCUUUGAUAGAAGGAGAUUAUAUUUGCUUGAUAUUAAUAUUAAAACAUUUUUUUCUCCCUUUAAAUAAUUGGCUUCUGGUGGGGUGUCUGGGUGGCUCAGUUGGUUAAGCAUCUGACUUCGGUUCAGAUCAUGAUCUCACAGUUCAUGAGUUUGAGCCCUGCAUCAGGCUCUGUGCUGCUGACAGCUCAGAGCCUGGAACCUCCUUGGAUUCUGUGUCUCCUUCUCUUUCUCUGCCCUCCUCUGCUCAAGCUUUCUCUCUCUCUCUCUCAAAAAUAAAUAAACAUUAAAAAAUUUAUAAAAAUUGGCUUCUGAUAAUUUUGUGACUUAAAGUAUCAAGAACCCAACUUUUAAAGUGGUAUUCUUUAAUAUUUUGUAAAUACUACAUUCCCAACUUGGUAUAUUUUGCUGGGUAAUUGCUAUUAUCUCUGUUUUAGAAUUCACAUAUCCCAUUCUUCCUCCAUUUCCACAGGAUUAUUCAGUAAUUAAUUGGAUAGCCUGGAACAGUCUUUAACAAGUUGGAUAUCUCCAAGAUGCCUUCCCCAGGUCUAAUAUUCUACAAGUCUUUGAUUUUAACUUACACUUCUUCUCAACUACGGCUGAAAGGUAGCACCAGUCUAAUUUUUAGGGUAAUGUGCCCCAUUUCUUACAUUAUCCUAAAUUGAGUGGAAAACUAUUUGUAAAAUAACAACCCCAAAAUAUCUAGCUUUUACUCUUUGGGGAAAGAUAAUUGUAGAAUACUUUUUUCUAUUUGAUAUGUUUUUACUUUGGAAAACCCUAUUGGGAAAGUAGAUUUCCAGACAGCUUGAAACUGACAAAUGGGCAUUUUGACAGGUAUUCCUGGAAGGAGAGCUACAACCACCAAUCAUUUCAGUUUCCUUAUUACAACAACUAUGUUUAGUAGAGACUAAGACAUAUCACAGUUUGACACAAGUAUUUUGUGUUGGGGGGUGGGUGAAUAUAAAACUUUUUUAAUGUAUUGGAAAAAUAGGGCAUUUGCUUUGCUAUUAUGAAGAAUAGAGAAACUAACAAUGUUGGUAUUAAAUACUUUUUUAUGGCUUCAGCGUGACCUGUUAUUGUGAACUUUUGUGUCUUCCAUUCAGUAGGAUGUUCCUAGAGGAGGGUUUAAUUUGUACUGCUCUUUGUCAUUUAAUGGAUUUGUCCUCUGUACAACCUGUGGCUUUAGAACAGAAAACUUCAAAGUAAAUGUUAGCAGAAACAAAUUUUGUGGGAUUCUUUUUUUUUUUUUUUGCAUAAAAUACCACUGGUAAGUAGUAUUCUCCAGACCUCAGUGGAAGUAGUCUAUUUCUAGAAAAUUAAUUUGUGAACAAGAUAGACCUGAACUCUCUUGGUUCUAUUUACAUCUCAUUCUCUUUCCAUUUUAUAAGCUUCUCAUUAGCAUGAAUGCAUUUUAAAUAAUAUUCUUUAGGGCUCCUUAACUGUAGAAGCACAGUGUUGGUUUUUGAGUGGAAUACAAGAAGCAAUCCUGCAGUCUCUUGUUCUUCACUUCACACCAAAUGUCAGCAGCUGCCACAUUGUUUUUCUCCACCACCGUCAUCACUGUCGCUGCUGCCUUCUUCAUCAAAAAUAAGAGAUAUUUGACUGAUUUGUAGGAUUUGUGAAAAAUAGAAAUCCUAGAAUCUUACAAAUGUGACUUGGUGUUUAAAGUUAGAGGAAAUGUUAUGAAUAGCUACAGCUUAAGACUAAUUCCAUGGGACGCCUGGGUGGCUCAGUCGGUCAGGCAUCCGACUUCAGCUCAGGUCAUGAUCUCCUGGUUCAUGAGUUUAAGCCCCAGGUUGGCUCUGUGCUGACAGCUCCGGAGCCUGGAGCCUGCUUCGGAUUCUGUGUCUCCUUCUCUCUGUCCCUCCCCCGCUCAUUCCCAUUCUCUCUCUCUCAAAAAUAAAUAAACAUUAAAAAAAAGACUAAUUCCUUUUGAUAGUAGUGAUUGAGUGAUUUUGCCUAUUUCAGAGAAUCAAGUUUAGAUGUGUAUGUGAAUGACCCUAUGGAGUCUUAUUUCAUUUGUUUGAGCCUGGAUCAAAAUCAGUUUCAUUUAGCUUUUAACUUGGACAAGGGUCUUAUGGUCGGUAACACGUUCUUUUUUUUUCUUAAGCUUCUUUUUUAAACACUGAGACAAAUCAUCGAAGAGCAUUAAUUUCUCUGAUAAAACUUUUCUCCAAGUGUAGACAUAUAUCUAAAACAAAAAUACUAUUGCCUUAUAGAAGACUUUUGUAAUUUCUUUAACUCCCUGUAUAAUGAUCACAUUGUUUUAUGAAGAAAUUUGUUUCUCCAGUUUUUGCUUUUUUUUUUUUUUUUGCUGCCAUCCUAUUUCUCCCUAUUUCAUCCCCAGUCAUUUCAACAUCUCAUACUUUUAUCCUACUUUAUCUAGUUGAAGCUUUACCAAGCCGAGAAAAUACAAUCUUUAUGACUUACAGUCAUAGACUUAAGAGAGAAGAGGUCUUUAAUAGAAUUCCUACUGAUCUUGGCAAGUUUCUUAAUUUUAUGCUUUUGCCUAGAACCUUGUUGAUUUGAACAGAUUGUCUCUUGACCUCCCAUCUACCUACUGCUAGCUUUUCUGAUGAAGUAUCUUUUAUACUCCAGCAUUGUACAAAUACUAUGCUGAGUAUUGUUAUGGAUUAAAAAAAAUGAGUAAGUCAUGGUUUGUUUUACUGUAGCAGGGAAACGACUUAGAAGAUAAAUAAUCUUAUAUAUUUUAAUAGAAAAUUAUGGAGGCUUAAAUAAGUGGAGGAGGCAUGGGAUAGUAUGUCCUGAGUGUGAAAUGAGUCUGGAAUUUGUGACUUUGAAGUCUAAAUUAGAACAGUGGCAUUAUGUUGUGGAAGGGCUACACUAAAAUUUUAUACCAGGCUAAAAUGGGAUGGAGAAAGGAAGAUGCCAUGUACCAGGUGUCUGUGUAGCCUUGUGAAUUUGUCUUGUUUUAGUUUUAUCAUCUAGGUGAGAGGAGCAUAAUUACCUUUACAAAGCCACUUAGAGUUGAGAAUCUUUGAGUAUUUUCCAUUAAGAAUCCGAGGUCCCUUGUUGUAAAUACAGCACCAUCACUGUGGUGCAAGAUGGUAGGUUGCCUUGCAUGUCAAGUCUGUUCCUGCCUCUCAUUCUCAUGCCCUAAGGAUCCUUUGUUGGAAGACUAAGGCAACUGUCAGGCUAUUUCUGUGUUCUCUAAUAGGUGCAGUGUCUCCGUUUAGUUUGGAACUGAUCCAGAUGUGUCAUCCUUAGGGUUCUUAAAUAUUAUUGCCUUGCCUUGUUUUUUCCACAUUCCAUUGCCUUGCCUUGUUUUUAUGGCCAACUUGGAAAGUUGAGUGUUCGAACCCAGUCAGAUGUCAUUAUUUGAUAUUAGCAUACACACCUAUUCUUCUUUUUACCCAGCUAUGAUUAUGACUUGUCUUCUUCCUAAAAAAAACUCUCUAUUUUAAAAUAUAAGUCUGUACCAGAAACAUCUAAUCAUAAUUUUACAGUGAAAACACAACUUGAAAUUUAAAAGAGCUUGAGAAUUUUUUUAGUAUAGAAGAUUUAAUUUGUGGAUGCUUGUAUCUUUUUAUUUAUUUAUUUUUCAUUUCAAUGUAACUUUUUUGUAUAUUUUUAAAUUCAUAUUAAAUACAUUAGACAUUCAGCAUUUUAUUGUAUAAAAUCAUUUCUGUGUUGAAGCAGAUCAAGAUUCUGAAAAUAUAGCUAAUUGCUAUGUUAAAAGCAUUGUAUAACUAGGAUGUUAACUAGGCUGAAUAUGGUGAUCAUUUUGUAAUAUAUACAAAUAUUGAAUCAUAAUGUUGUACACCUGAAACUAAUAUAAUGUUAUAUGUCAACUAUACCUCAAUAAAAAAAAAAAAAAAAAAGUAGGAGCUGUGCCUGGAUGGCUCAGUUGGUUGAAUGACUCUUGAUUUUGGCUCAGGUCAUGAUCUCAUGGUUUGCAUAGAGCCUUGCAUAGGGUUCUGUGCUGACAGCGUGGAGCCUGCUUGGGAUUCUGUUUCCCUUUCUCUCUGCCCCUUUCCUGCUGGUGCUUGCUCUCUCAAAAUAAAUAAACAUUUAAAAAAAGGAUAUCUGGAAAUAGUAAAAAAAAAUGGGGGCAUGAUAUAACUUUAUUCGUCAAGAAGUAAUCCUUUUUUUUUAAAUUUUUUUUUUAAUGUUUAUUUAUUUUUGAGACAGAGAGAGACAGAGCAUGAACGAGGGAGGGUCAGAGAGAGAGGGAGACACAGAAUCUGAAGCAGGCUCCAGGCUCUGAGCUGUCAGCACAGAGCCCGACGCGGGGCUCGAACUCACCGACUGUGAGAUCAUGACCUGAGCCGAAGUCGGCCGCUUAACCGACUGAGCCACCCAGGCGCCCCCAUCAAGAAGUAAUUCUGCUUCCCAAUUAAAUGAACAGAUUUUCCAUUUUUAGUGUGGUUUUUUUUUUUUGUCUUUUUUUUUUUUUUCAGUCUUUACACCCAGCACAGGGCUUGAAUUUACAACCCUGACAUCAAGAGUUGCAUACUCUACCAACUGAGCCAGCCAGGCACCCCUCUACAGAUGUUCUUUUUUAAACUUAAUCAGUUAAUCAAAACAUACUUUUGGGGAUACUUUUGGUGUAUCAUAGCACUCUGUUGGUUCCUGUGUGAAAUCCAUUGAAAAUGUAGGGUUAUAUAGUACCAAGCCACAAAACAUGAAACCAAAGCUAAUUUUGAUAAUCUGAUUUAUGUGAGAAGUAUACUGUAUACUAGGUAUUAAGAAGAAAAACAAUUACUUCCCCCACAUCUUUCUAUUAAAAUUUUUUUAAACCUAUGGAAAAGUUGAAUGAAUGGUACAUACAGUAAACACCCAUAUAUGCUUCAUCUAAAUUCCUCAGUGUCAACACUGUAUCAUAUUUGAAUUAUGUUUUUUUCUCCCUCCCCCCAUAUGUGUGUGUUGUGCAUCUGUAUAUAGAUAUACAUACAUGUAUGCUUCUUUUUUUCCCUUAAUCAUUUCAUUGUAAGCUGUAGAUAUCAGGGUGCUUAAUCCCUGACUACAUUACCUCCGAAUUACAGGACAUUCUCCUACAUAACCACUGUACCACUUUUAUAAUAAAACAUUUUUAAUAGUGAUUUUGUACUAUCACCAACUAUAUAAGCCAUUUUCAAAUUUCUCCAGUUGUACUAAAAUUGCCUUUCAUGGGUUUUGUUCAUUUGCAUGAGCUAGGAUCUAACAAGGCAGAUGCAUUGUAUAUGCUUAUCCUGUCUUUUCUGGACAGGCCUCCUCUGAUCUAUACCUAUGCUGUCCAAUAUGAUAGCCACUAGCUGUAUGUGACUAAAUAUAAGUAGAUUAAAAUGAACAAAAUUAAAAACUUAGUUCCUUAGUCACACUAGCUCCGCUUCAAGUGCUCGGUAGUCAUAUGUGGUUAGUGGCCACUCUGUUGGACAUCACAAAUUCAGACCAUUUCUAUCAUCAGAGAAAGUUCUAUUGGACAGAUCUAGGACAUGUCCCACCCCCUUUUGUCUUUCAUGAAAUUUGAUUUAUUGUUUUGAAGCAUUCAGGCUGGUUGUCUUGUUGAAUUUUCCACAUUAUGAGUUUGACUUGAUUGCUCCUUAGUGAUUUGAUUCCGGUUGUGGCAGAUAAUUUCUUUCAAAGAAAGCUGCACUAAUAUAUUUAGCCCAUCUCACCUGAGAGGUGGAGCCUUUGUUCCCUCCCUGUGGGAGGGCAUGAUGGGCAAGGACUUGUGCCAGCUGAUCAUUGCAGUCCGGUGGAAGUAUAUGCCAUAUGCCUUAAGACUUCCUCACUCACUCCUGGAAUGCUUACCUUUGGGACCCAACUACCACCUUGUGAGGAAGCCUAGGUCUUAUGAAGAUGUUACACAGUACCAGUUCAGGUCUCAGCUGACAACCUGAUGUGCCAGUGAAUGGGCCUUCAGAUGAUUCAGUUCUUCUAGUUGACGUCUUAGAUGUACUACAGUAGAGACAUGCAGUCCCAGCUGGGGUCUGUCUGAAUUCCUGAUGCACAGAAACAGAGAAAGCUCAUAGAUUAUUGUUAUUUUUUCAAGUUGCUAAGUUUUGAGGAAUUUUCACAGUAAUUCUGAGCUGUGAAAUGAGCAGUAAAUAGCUCAUACACAGAUUAAACAAUUUAGCAAGGGUGCUACAUUAGUGAUGGUGUGAAUUUCCUGUUGCAUCACAUCAGGAGGAAUGUGACGUCAGUGUGACUUAACUGGUGAUGUUUGAUCACGAUCACUUGGUUAAGGUGGUAUCCAUCAUCUCUCUCCAUCAUAAAUACCUUUUUCCUUUUGCAAUUAAUAAGUAACAUGAGGGAAGUGUAACUUUGCAAAUAAUAUAAGCUUCCAUCAAGUUCUGUGUCAACAUUUCACUCUAUGCUGUUGUUUUGAGUGGAUUUAAAAAUGGUCUUAGAAAUCUUAGAAAUCAUUUUACUCUUGUCAUUUUGCACCCUGAUUUAAUAAAUAUUGUUAGGUUUCCAUUGGAGAUACUGCCUUGAAACUAGGGACAUAGAAAUACAAGAGAUUUGAUUUUAUAGCCUUGGAGCUUAUGGAUGAAAACUAACAUGACUGGAAUUCACAAGGGUUGACCGAGUGGUACAUUUGUGUUCCAAGAUGAUUCAACUAAGAUAUUUUAUUUUCCAAGAGAGUAAAAUGAUGUCAUUAUGGUAACUGUAUACUGGAAUUUAAGACUGGUCAUUGGUGCUGCCUGAAUUAUACUUUUAUCAGGCAGGUUUGAAAUUAAAAACAGAUUUUUUUUAAGUGCACUUUUAUAUUAGAAGUUCUAUGAGUUUUGAUGUAUCUUUUUCUAAAUAUAGAAAUGUAUGUGUUUUAAAAUACAAAUCUAUCAUGGCCCAAAUUUCUUAUUAUUAAAUACUUAGUGAAUAGUAAUGUUUAUGAAUUAAAGACUGUAAGGAUACUGUUGUGUGAUAUUUAUUUAUUUAUUUAAAGUUUAUUUAUUUAUCUUGAGAGAGAGAGAGACAGCAUGAGCAGGGGAGGGGCAGAGAGAGAGAAUCUCAAGCAGGCUCCACACUGUUAGUGCAGAGACCAAUGCGGGGCUUGAACUCAAAUCAUGAGAUCAUGACCCACGCCGAAAUCAAGAGUUGGACACUCAACUGACUACACCACCCGGCACCCCCAUUGAAUAAUAUUUUAAAGCUAUGGGGUACAGUGCUUUAAGGAACCUUGGUAGCAUCAAACAUAGGGCCCAAAUAGUUGUUGAGGGAGUUCUAUACAGAUGAACCAUGCUUCACACCCUCUGUUACUUGAUUAUGAAUAGAAUACAUAAUAAAUGAUCUCUGUGGGGAUUUAAAAGUUCUGUCAAUAAGAACCAUCAUCUUCUUAUAGUUGUUUGUUUAUUUUGUUCUGGGAUAUAAGAAUGAUAGAAGCACUUUUUGUUUGAUUUGGUUUGAAAAUGGUAAAUUUACAGAUUUAUCUGUUCUGAAUUCUAUUUACAGUUCUUGGUAAGACAUACAAUACAAAUAAGAAGGAACACUAUAAAAUCCUGGAAUCAUAACUGGGUUUCUGAUAGAUUAGUAAUGUGAAAAAAGUACUAAAUGUGCCACAUUAUGUAUUGUAUAAUCCAAACAGUUGUACAUGUGGUUCUUGAAAUGGUGUUAAACUUUCCCCAAAGAAUGACUUCAUCCCUAUCUGUGUUAUGAAAACACAGUAAAAAUUUUAAAACUUUUUCAGCAAGUUCCUAUUGUGAAUUUGGGAUGUUGGGAUUUCCUCAUUCUAAAAACACUCCUUUAAGCCCUGCAAUAAGGAUUGAUUUCUGCUAUUUAUUGCUUUAAUCAUUUUAGUGUAUCAUAAUGGGUCUACUUAGAGUACUUCAUUGUUGUCUCUUUUUGGUGAAACUCUGUUGUUUAGACAACUCGGCUAAUGUUAUUAAGUUCAUGAUAUUUAAUUCCUCUGUGGACUAUACAGUUUCAUUUGUUACUUGCUCUCAGACUGAAUAUUUAGCAACAUUUUCUUCCAUGUAACUUUGGUUACAGGAAAAAUUCCAGGACAGAGUGAAUGGAUCAAUCAACUACUUAGAGAAGAGUAUCAGAGUACAACUCUUGCUAAGUAAAAUGGUGUACCUUUAGACAGAGGGGAAAUGUGAUUGGAGCUCCUUCGGAAUCAUAUAAAAUAUGUGAGUAAUGGUAGUUAGCUGGGGAAAGAGCAAUCAAAAUAUAAAUGAGUUCUGGAAAGUGGAAAAUGCUAAGGCAUGUGAUGAUAGGAAGGCCUCACUCUGGGAUGGUGAGAUAAAUGUGCAAGAAUACGGGAUUAUUUAAGAAAUGGAGCAAAACUGAGGAGUGAAGAGUCAAUGGAGGGAUAGAAAGAGAUCGUUAGGGUAGGUGUGAAUGUUGGCAGACAGGAAAGGAGGAGAGGAGAGAGUAAGCCUGUUAAAUUUUGAAGCAGAGCUGUGAGCUUGGGUGCUUAAGAAACAGAAACUAGUUUAAGGAUUUGCUGAGUGGGAAACCUAUAGAAUGAGACAUCACUGCUUCAGGUGGUUGCAAGAUGAAUACUUUCAAGUGUCUGGAGAAAGGGCUGGUUUUCCACAAUCUCAAGACAGAAAGCAUUGGCUGACAAACUUUGAAAGGCUCCAAAAGUGUGCCUACAUGUGAGUCAUGCCCUCUACAUGGACCUUUGGUAAAUGUCAUCCAAAUACAACUAUUCGAAUGGAGUCUGAUGCAGGCCUCGUUUCUAAGAAAGGUGAGAUCGUGGCCUGAGCCGAUACCAAGAGUUGGACACUUAACUAACUGACUGAGUCACCCAGGUGCCCCACUCUCCUGACAUCUGUAGCCAGCAGGAUCAAGCACACUUGACCUCAGACAUACCAUUUCUGGGUACGUGCACAUCAGGCCAGUGAGGUAUUUUGGUGGAGAGGGUAGUAAGGGUGAGGAACUGUGGUCUCAAGGACUUAGGCGUUAGAGGGAGAGCACUCCUUUCCUUCAGAGGGAAAGAGGGAGAAGAGAGUAAGUGGCAGGAAUUCCCAGGGAGCCUAAUGAUUGCCCUGGCCUCUUCACAUCACAACAUCACAUUACACGUUGCUGAGCCAGUCUAUAUCCCUGUCUCUAACACAUGGGGAAAAAGUAAAGCUAAUAUUGUUGCUCAUAGAGAUUUUUUUUUUGGGGGGUGCGGUUCUUUCAUGUAUUUUGUUUACAUUUUUAGCUAAAUCUUAUGGAUAGUUUGCUUGAAAUACAUGGAGUUGGGUGUUCAGGGACAAGAGUUAUCAUAUCCAGUUACGGAAAACGUUUGAGAGUUAUUUGGAUGUCUUUAUCUGUGUUAGCAUACAUGACUGUUACUCUGUUCACCCAGGAUCUAAAGCUGAAUACCUAUUCACUUAUUCCCCAUUUACUAUUCAGCCAUGUCAACUACUAUAUCCUCAGAUGAGCUACUAAAUAAAACAGGAAUAUCUUAUUAUGUGACUCAUCCUUCUGUUUUUUCCCCUGUAUUUCAGAUUUAUAAUGGUGUGGUGUGAAGAGAUCCAGGAUUUCCAUUUCUGCUUUCCCUUUCCUGCCAAGCUCAUGACCCCUGCCAAUUCCAUCCUUUCCUUCCAUUUGCCCGUUUUGGUUUGGGUUCUGGACUCUUUGGGAGUUUAUAGAACAGGAGCCAUUUACACUCCCCCCCCCCCCCGCCCCCAAAUGGGACAAGUGUCUUAAUUGAGGUCAGGCCAACACCAACUGUGACAGAAUCUUCCCCUCAUCCGCCUGGCACAGGGGAAGAAUUCAUACACGAGAAGAACGGCAUGAAACUGUGCCUCCUAACAGUGGCCAUUGGGAUAAAGCUAAUGCCCAGUUGGAGGCACAACACAGUGACUUCUUUUGCCAGGCUUGAUUGUUCUGCUUGGUUCCAAGCCAGAUGGCAACCUGGUGGGUGACCCAUUGGCUCUCGCCUUUCCCCAACCCACUCAUGUCUAAGAUAAAAUGUCCAGCUGUCCCUUUGCAGGACUUACCCUGUGGAAACAGUAAUUGCCCUCACUGUUACUUGAUAUUUACAUAAUUUUGUUUAAAUUUGUAACUAUAGUACUGUCAAUAUGACUUUAUUAGUAGUGUGAAAGCUUCAAAUUGCUUGCCAGAAUUCAAGAGUGAAAUCCAUUUAACACGAGGCUGUUUAAAGUAUUAAAAGAACUUCGGGAUUUAGCGUAGGAGAGGAAGUGUGAAGAUGUGAAUUAUUGAACUAGUGUAGUUCAUGUGCUAUAAAAAGUUAUUUUGAUCACUAGAAAUACUUGUACCGAGGUUUGCAGUCGUUUUUAAUACCUUUUAUCCUUCAGUCACUCUCUGACAUAUGUAAGUCAGAAAUGAACCUCCCAGGUUUCCCUCACGUGGACAUAUAUCUGCUGCCUCUGAAGGUACUUAGGCUUUUGUGCCUGGAUUAUUGUAUAAUAUUCAGGAUGCCUUAUUUGAACAAUGAUAAUAGCUGUUAUCUAUUGAUAAUAAUGUAUGGCUGUUAUGAUUUGUUUUUAAGUCUGAAAUGUAGUUGGAGGUAUAUGAAGAAAUCAAGAGAGAAUUCUGAAAAACAAAGUCCUGAUCGUUUUGCAGAACUUCAUCUGCAUAGGUCUUCCAUUUUAACACUAGCUUUGUUUUCUGCGAUGAUGAUGCAUUACUAAUAGCAUUUUUACAGUUACAUUUUAUUUAAUUAAAAAAUCUUCUCGAAAGUAACAGAGAAAGCCCAGGAACUUUAUUGAUGAUAUUUCUGGACACACUUUUGUUUUUAAACAAAGCUGAAUUACUUUGGUAGGUUUGGGGAGAGAACACUUAUUCCUGCUAGCCAACACUGGGGUCUCUUAUUUACCACUGGAUUUGCAGCUGUAGGAAAUAUCCUGAUUUCUUAAGGAUCCAGUUACAGCCUGAAGCACAUUUCUGUAAGAUACAGUGCUAUAAAUAAAUGGCCGUUAUCCUACAAAUGCUUUUGCUGCCAUAAUGUCACUGAAAUGCUACUAAUAUUGCCAGUGUCAUUAUAAAAGUAAUGAUUGCCUUGCCUUCCUAUGGGAUUUUAUGAAACGAAAUAAGAUAGUAGAUUCAAAAGUAUUUUUAAAGAUUAUAGGUGAUCAGGGGUGCCUUUGUGGCUCAGUCCAUUAAGUGUCCGACUCUUGAUCUUGGCUCAGGUCAUGAUCUCACGGUUCGUGAGUUCGAGCCCCAGGUUGGGCUCUGGGCUGAUAGCGCGAAGCCUACUUGGGCUUCUCUCUCUCUGCCCCUCUUCUCCCUCCCUCCCUCUCUCUCUUACUCUCUGUCUCUCUCUCUCUCUGUCUCUCUCUCUCUCUCUCUCUAAAUAAACAGAAAACGAAAAGACUGUAGUUGAUCAAUAAAUGUAAAGAGACAUACUACAAUUUAACUUUUGUACUAUUUUAUCACAGCUAACAUCACUAUUACCAUCUUCACUAUUGAAGUAUAAUUUCUCAGGUCUAAUAUCCUCUAUUUACUGACUAAUUUACCAGGAAAGGGAAGGCACAUCAUGCCAAUUGGUAGUCUAGAAUUUAUAAUUGGAGAUUUUUUUUUUUUUAAUUUUCUUCGGGAAUCUGAGGCCUCAAUGUAAUAAUAAUUUUGACUUUGAGCCCCUAAAUUUCUUUACCCCCCUAAGUUUUAUUGAGGUAUAAUUGAUAAGUAAACAUUGUAUGUAUUUAAAGUGUACAAUGUGAUGGUUUGAUAUACGUAUACCUUGUGAAAUGAUUACUACAAUGAAGUUAAUUAACACAUCCAUCACCUCACAUAGUCAACUUUUUUUUUCUUUUUUUUUGGUGUGGUGAGAACACUUAAAAUCUACUCUCAGCAAAUUUCAACAAUACAAAACAGUAUUAUUAACUCUAGUCUUCAUGCUGUACAUUGGAUCCCCAGAAUUUAUUCAUCUUAUAGCUGGAAGCUUAUAUCUUUUGACUAGCAUCUCCCCUCUACCUUCUAUCCCCCAAGCCCCUGGCAACCACCAUUCUACUUGCUGAUCUGUGAGUUUGUCUUUUUUUAGAUUUCACGUAUAAGUGAGAUUAUACAAUAUUUGUCUUGCUCUGACUUAUUUCGCUUAGCAUAAUGUCCUCUAAGUUCAUUCAUGUUGUCUUAAAUGGCAAGAUUUCCUUCUUUCCAUUGGCUGAGUAAUAUUCCUAUGUGUAUAUAUAUAUCACAUUUUUUCCUUAUGCAUUCAUCCCUUGAUGGACACUUAGCUUGUUUCUAUAUCUUGGCUAUUGGGAAUAAUGCUACAGUGAAAAAGGGGGUGUAUCUCUUUGAGGUACUGCUUUUAUUUCCUUUGUAUAUACACCCAGAAGAGAUUGUUUCCGGAAUGUGAUUGCUAGAUUAUAUGGUAGUUCCAUUUUUAUUUUUUGAGCAAUCUCUACUGUUUUCCAUAAUGGCUCUACCAGUUUGCAUUCCCACCAACAGUGAAUAAGAGCUCUCUUUUCUCUGCACAUUUGCCAACACUUGUUAUCUCUUGUUGAUGAUAGCCAUCCUAACAGGUGUGAGGUGAUACCACGUUGUGGUUUUGAUUUGCAUUUCCUUGAUGAUGAAUGAUGUUAAGCAUCUUUUGUGUAUUUGUUUGCCAUUUAUGUGUCCUUGUGGGCAAAAUAUCUAUUCAGGUCCCUUGCUCAUUUUAAAAAUCUGAUUAUUUUUUGCUAUUGAGUUGCGUGUGUUCUGUAUAUGUUUUGAACAUUAACCUCUCAUCAGAUAUAUGGUUUGCAAAGAUACAUUCCUUUUCAUUUCAUUGCUGAGAGUAUAUGACUUCUCCUUAAAGGCUGUACCCAGUCCUGAGGGGCCAGCUCUGACCUUUGGAGAAUUUUAAGAACCCCGACUCAUUAGCUUCUUAUUUGAUAUCAAAUAAUGUUACUGUUGGUUCUUUGUGUUAACUUUGUGCAUCAGCCUGAUAACUGGGUUUCCGUCUUGCUUGUAUGGUGACUACCCCAGGCCUAGUCACAGAUUUCCUAUAUUGACUACUUGUCUUGGCCUUAAAAACCUGCCCAGAAUCUCUGAAUUCUCUUUGGUUUCUUAACUUGAGCUGACCACCCCCACCCACCCCAACCCUCCCAUACCCACACACCCUCCAGAUUUAAGUCUUGCUUGAGUCCCAGUUUCUUCACUAGCAGUCCAGCUAACAUGUUAUCUGAACUAUGGUGUAAAUGGAAUUUGGUAGGACUGGUACUAAGGAGAAGGGGGGAUGUCCAGGUGUACAGAGGAGAGGGGGAAAUUGACAUGAACAGAGAAGAAAAGUACGAAAGGACCAGUACAUGUCUUCAUUCAUAACGUUGUGAACUUUGUAAAGGAAAGAAAUCUUACCCGUUGUUUACUGCUCUGUCUCUGUAUAAGCCCAGCAUUUAACCUAUCCAGUAAAUAUUUGCUGAAUGAUUGUUUGGGGAAUACACUGAAUUGACUGGUUUGCCUGGAGGGCACUUCAGUGUGAACUUUUAGGGACGGGGAUCGACUUCAGCCUUGUUUACUGCUAGAGCUGUACAUAUUUUUGUUGAAUGAAUAAGUAUUGGGAUCACUGGAAUUGACACUAGCAUUCUGAAAUCGAUAAUGCAGAAUCUCAAAUGUCAUGCCAAGGAUUUGGGUCUCAUGAUAAGAAAGGAAGCAGAGGUGUGGAUCUUAUUAUCUCCAUCUGCUGCCUAAUGUAAUAAGAAUUUUGUUCUUUAAGUAUACUCUUAUUUACACUAAAGCAUUCAGAAAGAGAAUUCUUUUGAUUCUGAGGAAAAGAAGGUCUAUUUUUAUAUAAGAUCUUCCUUUUUGAGUUAAUUUAAGUCCAAUAUAUAAAUAGGUAGAUAUGCUUCUAAAAUAUGCUUUUAAAAAUUUGCUUUUUGGCUAGUCAACACUUUUAUACACACCAAUUCCAGAAAUAUAUUUCUUUUUAAUAUCAUGUGAAUAACAGCUCUGCUUUCAAGUACUCAACUAGGAGAUGAAAGGCAUCCACUGUUUUCAUUCUUGCUGGUCUAUUUUGGCAUUCAAUGGUGUUAAGCAAGUAUUCACUGCUUUAGGCUCCUUGAAUCUGGGCUCUGAAGUGAGUGCUUCUAUGUGUCAGACUCACAUCUUCAUCCACCUUUAUCUCUGCACUCUGGUGUGGGCCAUUUUAAGCCGUAAGGAUGUAUAGUUUCCAAAUACUAUACUACUGUGGGAAAGUGAAACCUAUCCAGAGGACAAAUUGAAUGAUUCUAUUAAAGAGGACAGGUUAUCUUGAUAGAUGUUACACUUAAAGGAAUUUCUUCUCAAUGUUUUACCUUCAGAGAGUGCUUGUACUGCUUAUGGGAUCAUAUCGUCCCUGAUUGGGAUAAACAUCAGCUUCAUGUGUAACUUUGAGAAUUUUUUUCUCUUUUUCUUUUCUUUUUUUUUUUUUUUUUUUUUGGGUGCAUGUUUGUCCACCAUAGGAUAGAGCAUAGAGCUAGGCUUGCUAAUCAAGAGGAAUUGCUUCCGCCAGGUAUGACUUAAAACCGGGGCUGGAAUUAGGGCAGGGCCAUGGCAAGAGCACACCGAACACCAGAAUGACAGGUGUGUCCUCUACAGGGUACGAGAUCACUGUCACUGUUGGCUCCCUGCUCUCUCUCUAUCUUCAUCCAAGCACCCGGCAGGUUCAGAAAGAUAGAGUCCAAUUCUCCAGGCAGUCGUCCUCAGCAGGAGGGAACCGAGGAACGUUAUCAUCUGAAAUCAUGGACUUAGGGGGCAAAAGCCUGGAAGCUUGAGGUUUUCGAAAUGUAAAUAUUCUGUGGCAAGUGAUUAAUUUUUCUUAGAUGAAUUACUGUAGCCACUCUAGAUUUUGUUUACUGUGGGAGCUGAUUCUUUUUAGGCAUACUGAUGUAUAAUAGCACAAGUAAAAUCUCCCAACUAAUGUUGGAAAACUUAGAAAAUAGAAAAUAAUCAUCUAUAAUUUUAAGAUACAAAAUUGUUAAUAUUUUGUAUUUGAUUUUAAUGAUGAACACAAUUAUUGCUCUGCCUUGUUUUGAGGAGGAUAAUUUAUUUUUCCACCAAUACUAUCAUAAUUGUUGUCAUCCUCCUCCUCAGAUAUUUACUAAUUCCUGGCUAAUACACAAGGAAAGUUCCAGGAAGAGUGGAGAAGAUAAAUAAAUGGAAGAUGUGGCUUCUUUUUUUUUUUUUUUAAGAAGAUUAUUUUCUAUUUAGGACUGAACAUAUGUCCUGGGAAAAUAAAAUAUAUGAUUUAUUCAUAACAUCCAUGAUUAUUAAGCUCCUUUAUGUGCUAGUCACUGUCCUCAGUGUGUGAGAAAUCAUGUUGAAUAAAAUGUCGUUUCUACGUUCAACUUAAUGUCCAGGGGAGAUAAUAGACAAGCAAAUCGGAAUUUCAGUAAAUUGGAGUGUGUGAAUUGUUAGUGAAGUGCCCCAGAGGGAGUGCUUGCUAUAGGAAGACAGUGCAUUGAAAGAGGUAUUGAAUAACGUACUGGACAGUUUGGAUGCCAGAAUAAAAACAUUCUUGUAAGUACUUGCUUCUUACGUUGCUCCUCAGUGAGAGUCUAAGGCAUAACUCUAAGUAGUCAAGUAAUAAAAACAUUUUGGUAACAAUGUGAAAGUAAUAUAGUUCAGGGAUGGAUCUUGUGAAAUUUGGUUAAAUGGGCCUUAAAUUCUUUCUAGUACCAAUUGUCUUAAUAUUUGCUUUUGUCAGGAGUUUAACAUCAACAUUUGACAAGUGCACAAAGUGCUCAGGUUCUGUGGUGUAGGUUGAAAAGGAGACCUUAUAUUUUAUAUUCUAGGUUGGCAGGUGUCAAGGUUAGUAUUCCAUUAUGAAAUUUAAGAACUGAUCUGCAUUCUUUUAUUUAGGCAAUGCAUGUUUCCACCUCUGCAAGGAGGGAAUUUGAUGAAAGAGAAAAAGCUUACAUCCAUUAUACCUUGGAUAUUUUGUCUCUAUUUGCCAUGAAACUUGUAGAAUAGAAUUUUUACAGCCAGUUUUUCUAUUUUACACCAACUUGGUAUAUUUUAUUUCCUUUAUGCCAGAUGAAAGAAAUGAGAACUUACUUUUUUAUACUUUGAGCUGUUCAGUUCCAGAGGGAAAAAUACCAAGAGAGCUAUGAGAAGUUUUCUCCCUAGAGAUCUUUAAGAAAAGGCGUUCAUACACUUAACUGUCUGAAGUUGUUUGUGUAGAGUUUUGUGUGUCCUAGUUCAAAAAGCACGGUGUUUAAAAACCCAGACUUAGAAAAUUGGUAUCAUUAAGGAUGAUUCUUAUCUAAUCAUUUUAGUUUUCUUACUAGGUACAUUUAUUUGAUAAUAAAUACAAUUGGUGAGUAUUUGACUAUGAAUAUUGCUUACAUAAUAUCCAAAUUUGCAUUGUGAAGCAUGUUUUGCAGUUUUCAGAACACUUUUACAUUAUUAUGUUAUUUGAGCCUCAGAGGUCUUAUGUAGUAGGUAAGGCUGGUGUUACGAUUAUCCCCAUUUUGCUGAUGAGAAAUCAGGAUGCAAGGUCAUGAGACUUAACCUGUGGCUAUUAGUUACUAAGUGGUGGGGUUUGGUACAGGUUUUCUGACAGCACAUUCUUUGCUCUUUUUACUGUGUUAUAGGACAUGGAUUUUUUUUUGUAAAUGAGUAUUUGUUCUGUUGUAUGUCAAAAUCAGGUCCAUGUGGUGUCUCUGAGUCAUUAAUUUCUGCUUUCUGCAAGCUGAAUGGCCACGGGGGGGACGGGAGAAAAGGUUUGGACUUCCUCCCAAGUGAUCAUUUCCUCAGCUGGCACUUUCUUAUCAAUGCAGUGUUGAAGAUGGUAACUUGGGGGUCUCAGAUCAGCUCACAAAAAAUAAUUGAACUUAUAAAAUUCCUGAACUGACAUUAUUAGAACUAACUUGUUGCUCAUAAAAUAAUAUGGUUUGAUGUUUAAAAAUAAGUUUCCAGCAAACAGGAAGUGAAUUUGUUAAUGUACUAGGAUUAAGUACUUUCACUAACUACAUUAGCUAUAUAUGAUAAUCAGUUCAGAUGAGCAUUGAUAAAUUAGACUGUGCACUUAGGAGAACCAAAAUAAAAUCAGUUCAUUAACUACUGAGUCCUUAUGUUGGAGCCACAACAUACAUAGGUUAAAUUUUAGAGUUAACAGGGCCAAAUGUAGACAAUAGAUAGAGCCUCUAGAAAGAAAAAGGACAUAUUACUGAUGAUUACUAAAAGAGUGAGGUCAUGUUAGAAGAAGGAAUUAUGGGCACUUGGUGGCUCAGUUGGUUGAGGGUCCAACUCUUGAUUUCAGCUCAGGUCAUGAUCCCAGGGUCAUGGGAUUGAGCCCCCAUCAGGCUCCAUGCUGAGUGUAGAGCUUGCUUAGCUUGCUCGCGCGCUCUCUCUCUCUCUCUCCCUCCCUCCCUCCCUCCCUCCCUCCUCUUUCGCUGCUUAUACUCUCUAAAAUUAAAAAAAAAAGGAAUUAGUAUAGUACAAACAUGCCUGACAUAAUUCAGGAGUAUGCAGACAAUAGCUGGGGGUAGGAAAAUACAUGCUGGGGAUAGUUGUAGAUGAGUUUGAUGAGCUUAAUUAUGGUGGACCAUGAAUUCCAGGACAAGAGAUUUGUUGCUCUUCAAGUUAAAGAUUGCAGUGCUCUUCUAGCCUAGGACUCGUGUUUUCCAGGUAAGGAAACCAAAGUGAAUCAUUCAAAUUAGUUAGUGGAGAAAUUGGGCCUGGAACCAAGGCUUCUUAAUUAUUAAGCUAAUGUUGCUUCUAUUAUGUGAUCUUAUAUGCUGUUGCCAUUGUUGGUUCUGGGACAGAGAGUAGCAAAGUGAAAGCAUUGCUUUUUAAGAGUAAAACUUUCACAGUCUUAGAAAAAGGAUUAGAAGGAGAAGUUAUUUGAAAUAGGAAGACCGGUGAAGCUUAUUUUGAUAAUCCUGGCGUGAGGUGAUACAGAAUGAAAAAGAUGGAGGAGUCAGUAACAACUAGAGUUUCAGGCUGAGUGAUGAGGAAAAAGGAAACGUAUUAAAAUAAGUUAGUAAAUUUGGAGAGUAAACUUGUUUUGUGAGGAAGAUCAAGCUCAUUUUUGAAUCCAUUAGGAAAGCAAUGAGAGUUGUUUUAUUAGGCAGACAAGAAUAUGGGACUCGUGUUGCAAAUGUUAAAUUAUACUUUGCAGAUAAUGAGGAUUGACUAGUAGCAUAGCAUGUAUUAUAGAACUAAUCUCUUCACACGGUACAACUGAAGGCAAUUUAAUUCCAGAAAGUCUCCCUAAGACUGUUGCUUUAAGAGAAACUUAUCUAUUAGAUGUGUCACUGAUGAAACGUCUGGUUAAUUAACUGGUUAACUGGUGUGGGCAAGCUCACCUCAAGAAGACCUUUACUGGCCCAACUGUAUGAUGCUUCUUCUCCAAUAAAAGUAUUAGUUGGGUGUGCAACCCCAUGUAAAACCUAUGUGCUACAGAGAAGGGUCUUACCUUUCAGCCAUUCAUUGCUGGAGCGGCUUUAUGAUAUUUUAUGAUGUGAUCACAUUUUUGGUCAUGAUUGUAAUUCAGUUUAAUAACGUUAACUGGUUUCAUUUGGGCAAUGUAUUUCCCUAGUCACUCUUCAUUUAUUAUUUUUAAACUUCUUUGUUUGAGUGAAACCAAAGGUAACAGCUGUUGAUGUUUCUGCGAAGUGGUGGUGAACCUGAGCUGUUAUCUAUGUGGUCCAUGAAAAUUUUAAAGAUGGGGCCCGUGUCUUUGUUUACCUUCUCUUUGUGUGUUUCUAAGGAUUUCUAAGACUUUAAAGCAUACUUAUUAACUUUAUUCAUUACUAACCAGUUUACUUACAUUUCGGGGGCCUUGAUGUUCCCAUAACCUGUUUGUCCAACAUUUAUCAUUCUACCUUACCUGCCUAGAUUUGAAUCUAAGCUUCACUGCUGAAUGAGUUUGCAAGUUAUGACAGAUUUCCAUGUUUCCAUUUUUUGUCAUUUAUUGGACAGUAUUACUACCUACCUUGUGGGCUUGUUGUGAGAAUUAAGUUAUGAAAUAUGUCAAGCACCUGAAGAGCCUGGCACAGCGCAAACACUCAGAUCUUAGCUGUUGUUAUUGUUACUGUCCUAUUGCACUCUCCUGUUCAUCGUCCGUCCUUGUAUUCCUUGGAACUAGAACAGUGUUUGCAUUUAGUAAGAAUUUUUGAAGGGUUAAUUGACCAAGGAAGGGGCGGAGGAAGGUGUCACAGGGUAUCUCGUAGGGUGAAACAGUGAGAGGCCAGCAAUUUUUGUCAUAAGUGCUGUUUCCAUUCUUGCUCAGCUCCACUCUAGGUGAAAACUUCCCCUUAGUCAUUAAGAAUUAAUGUUAUUGAUCCCAGUGUGGUUUUGUCAGGAAAGCAGUUAGGUUAAUCUUAGUUGGAAGUGGUUAAUAGUUUCCCAGUAGUUUUUACACUUUAAAAAGUAUGUCCUAACUGGGGUGCCUGGCUGGCUCAGUUGGUACAGCAUGCGAGUCUUGAUCUUGGGUCGUGAAUUUGAGCCCUACAUUAUACAUAGAGCUGACUUAAAAGAAAAAAAGUAUUUGUUACCCAUUCUUGUUGCUUGCCCUUGAAGCCUGCCCGGGCGAAGAACAGUUUUUUUCAGAUAUACCUUUCUGGGUAGGAUCCCCUCUGUAGGCAGUCCAGUUUUGCCUGGGAAUCUAAGCCUGAGGACAGCUUGUUGAUUGUUUUUAGUUUCUUUGCUGCUGCUGCUUUUGAACAUCCAGGCCUCUAAAGCACCAUUUUUUGUUUCCUUAAAUAGUAUUACCUUCUUCCUAUCAUUACCAGUCCACAUACAUGUGCUUAAGUUAACGGCUUUGAGCAACAUGAUGUAUUAAUUGUUUUUCUCAUCAUUUUGCUACAAGGGAGGCAUUAUUUCUAUUUUACACCCCUGGAAACUGAGGCUGAGCGUGGUUGAUAAGUACCUUUCCUAAAGCUUUGCAGUAAUUGUCAAAGCUGAGAUUUAAACUUGGGAAAAACGGUCUGAUGUUAACCUUUACUAUCUCUGCUGGUUCUAAUGAAGGUCUCAGCGUCAAAUCUAUAUGACACCAACAUUCCAGGGCAGCUUUGUGAAUUAGUGUGUGUAUUUGUAUGUGCUUUGUAGCUUUUGAGUUCUAUACAGAUUUAGUCAUUAAUAGUGAUCUAGUCCUUUAUGCAUCUCUCCUUUUUUAAAAAAAAUUUUCUAGUCUUGUUCACAAGAUUUCUAGACUGCUCAGAUUGUUUUUUCUUUAAGCAUGAUUUCCAUCCUCUGUUGCCAUCUUAGAGUGGCUUCUGUUGAUUAGUAUUCACUGUAUGGAAGGGUCCCCAUGUGUCAGAAAACGUAAGAAGAAAGAGACUUUCAGAGUCUUUUUUGAAAAGUUUUGUUUACUAGUAGUCUUCUUUUCAGUAGAGUCAGUGAUUAAGAAUGUGGGCCAUGGUCAGACAGACCUGGUUCAAAUCCUCCCUCUGCUCUAUGACCUUGGAACUUUGAACAUAUUUCAUUACCUCUUUAAGCCUUAGCAUCUUUACCUGUAAAAUGGGAGUAAUACUAAUAAUCCCAGGCUAUCGUAAAGAACACACGAGCAAAGGUAUAUGCUGUGUUUAGUGUAGUGUUUAGUGUUUAGUGUAGUGCUGUCAGUAAGUCUUAGCUGGUAUUAUAGAUUGAGGGCUAGGCUUAGAAGAGUAACCCAGGAAUAUUGUCUGUGUUGAAUUCAAGUGAUCUGCAAUAGAUGUGCCCUCUAGGGGAUAAGGGGUAAGGGUAAGAGUACAAUGGGAGUCUCUUAAGGUUCUAGUCCCAGGUUUGAUAGGCUCAGUCCCUUCAUGGAGUACUUAACAAAGGGGCAUGUAAUGAUUUGAUCCGGAAGCCCUUAGAGAAUGAAGGUGCAUAUACUUAUAUGUGAAUUCAGCAAACAUUUACUAAGCACCUGCUGCUGCCAGGCACUACUAUGCAGAUGCUGAUGAUAGAAAAGGAAAAUAGGUCUUUCUCUGUCUUUUUGAAGCUUAUAUUCCAACUGUGGGACCAGUAUGUAAAUAAAUAACUGAUAUAACAUGAUAAGUGUUUUAAGGUGUAUGCAAAAUGCCCUAGGGCAUCAAGUGAGUUGGAAGGAAGCCCAUUCUUGUUGAUACUUUAUCUUCAAGGGUAAGAAUUUUCUUAUAGGAGCAUUAGUCCAGUGAUUACUUUGAUAUUUUUUAGUGUAGAUUUAUCCUUCAAACACCAAAUAUAUUUCAAAUGUAAGUAAGAUUUGGCUGUGUAACUGAAAGCAGCCUACCUUUAAACUUUUCAAAUAAUAUUAUUUAUCCAAAAUCUAUACAACUUAAGUAAAUAGAAGUUAUAGGCAAAUUCUUGGCCUGCUGAUUUCAUAAAGAACACCCAUAGCUUCAGUGUAUAAAGGGGUUUCUUAGUUCAUCAGUGUAUGUGUUUUCCAAAUUAUUAUUUAUGCCCACGGGAAAUAUUGUUGGCAUUUGGGAAGAAGUGAGUGUAAUAUCAGGUAGCAUAACAAUACUGUUAACUGGUAGAAUAAUGAUUGGAUGUUGACAAUUGGAAUAUUAGCUACUGUGAAACACUAUCUAAUGGAACAAUGCUAGGAAACUGUGUGUGUGUGUGCACACACUUCUGUAGUUUAUAUAAAAUAUUAAAAUACAUUGAAUAUGUAUUUAUAAUUUAUAUCAUAGUAUAAUCAAAUCCCUGUAUCACAUCAUUAUGUGGAAGAAAUUAUUUUUCUCAUUUUGCAGAUGAAGGCACUAAAACUUGCCUGAAAUGAUGUGAAACUAAUAAGUGAUGGAACAAAAACUGAAUUUCAAAGCCUUUGUACUUUUCACCUGUUUGUGUUGAAUACAACUGUUUCUCACUUAACAGGAUUCAUCAUACAAUAAUUUAAAUUUUACACAUUUGUUAUCCAAACUUGAAGCAUUUGAGCCAAACUCUAUGCACCCCUCUACCUCAACCUGAGUCUUUCUAGUGCCAGACAAAGUGAACAAAAAACUUUGGAAGUAAAAAAAUCUAAAGUCUGGCAGUUUGCUUAUAUUUAUGUUUUUAAAGUUACUGCUUUUCCAUUUUCAACUGUUUCAGCUGUUUUCAGCGUACUAGCUGUACUUAAUAAAGAGACCAACCAUUACUUA